UACAGAGGUCCCAAGCGUUGUUCGGAUUCAUUGGGCGUAAAGGGUGCGUAGGCGGUUUGUUGCGUCGGCUGUGAAAUCCCGAGGCUCAACCUCGGAUCUGCAGUCGAUACGAGCAAACUAGAGUGUUGCAGGGGAGACUGGAAUUCCUGGUGUAGCGGUGAAAUGCGCAGAUAUCAGGAGGAACACCGGUGGCGAAGGCGGGUCUCUGGGCAACAACUGACGCUGAGGAGCGAAAGCGUGGGGAGCGAACAGG
Molecule: ribosomal RNA, 253 nt
Filed under: uncultured bacterium
Lineage: Bacteria
Description: partial 16S ribosomal RNA
Rfam family: Bacterial small subunit ribosomal RNA
Source: RNAcentral